This 157-nucleotide non-coding RNA is filed under the name Geminigera cryophila. The record is from RNAcentral. Lineage: Eukaryota; Cryptophyceae; Pyrenomonadales; Geminigeraceae.
AGUCCAACUGUUUAUCUAUCUAUCUCAGUCUAGAGAAUGUCCACCCAUUGUAUGUUUGGUGUCCCCGAUGAUUUCCUGCAUGUUAUUCUUUCAUAUUAUUAACACCCGAUAUUGUAUCCCUUUUUUUGGCACGAUGUUUUGGACACCCGGUAUUUCC